Molecule: ribosomal RNA, 429 nt
Filed under: Verrucomicrobiota bacterium
Lineage: Bacteria; Pseudomonadati; Verrucomicrobiota
Description: Verrucomicrobia bacterium partial 16S ribosomal RNA
Rfam family: Bacterial small subunit ribosomal RNA
Source: RNAcentral
UAGGGAAUCUUCGGCAAUGGGGGGAACCCUGACCGAGCAACGCCGCGUGAGUGAAGAAGGUUUUCGGAUCGUAAAGCUCUGUUGUUAAGGAAGAACGAGUGUGAGAAUGGAAAGUUCAUGCUGUGACGGUACUUAACCAGAAAGGGACGGCUAACUACGUGCCAGCAGCCGCGGUAACACGUAGGUCCCGAGCGUUGUCCGGAUUUAUUGGGCGUAAAGCGAGCGCAGGCGGUUAGAAAAGUCUGAAGUGAAAGGCAGUGGCUCAACCAUUGUAGGCUUUGGAAACUGUUUAACUUGAGUGCAGAAGGGGAGAGUGGAAUUCCAUGUGUAGCGGUGAAAUGCGUAGAUAUAUGGAGGAACACCGGUGGCGAAAGCGGCUCUCUGGUCUGUAACUGACGCUGAGGCUCGAAAGCGUGGGGAGCGAACAGG